RNAcentral lists this ribosomal RNA (285 nucleotides) under Escherichia coli. RNAcentral's name for it is "partial 23S ribosomal RNA". It matches the Rfam family "Bacterial large subunit ribosomal RNA", at positions 2664 to 2925 of the family's 2925-position model. Lineage: Bacteria; Pseudomonadati; Pseudomonadota; Gammaproteobacteria; Enterobacterales; Enterobacteriaceae. The record is from RNAcentral.
GAGGGGGGCUGCUCCUAGUACGAGAGGACCGGAGUGGACGCAUCACUGGUGUUCGGGUUGUCAUGCCAAUGGCACUGCCCGGUAGCUAAAUGCGGAAGAGAUAAGUGCUGAAAGCAUCUAAGCACGAAACUUGCCCCGAGAUGAGUUCUCCCUGACCCUUUAAGGGUCCUGAAGGAACGUUGAAGACGACGACGUUGAUAGGCCGGGUGUGUAAGCGCAGCGAUGCGUUGAGCUAACCGGUACUAAUGAACCGUGAGGCUUAACCUUACAACGCCGAAGGUGUUU